This is a long non-coding RNA of Ochotona princeps (American pika), 789 nucleotides long. RefSeq lists it as uncharacterized. The transcript is spliced from 3 exons. The record is from RefSeq and is a predicted model, not a curated record. Lineage: Eukaryota; Metazoa; Chordata; Mammalia; Lagomorpha; Ochotonidae.
GAUUGUUGCCAGCAAAGGAGGUUUUGAAAUGGUCACCAAAGGAAAGAAGUGGUCUAAAGUCGAUAGCUGCUUGGGAUAUCUGCCAGGAAAAGAAACUGGGUCUCUCUUCAAAGUCUCACUGUGAAAGAAUUCUCUACCCAUAUGAGCUGUUCCAGUCUGGCGUCAGUCUUAUGUGGGCAGCUUAUAUUGUGGAAAGAAACCUCGAAGACCUAAACAAAGAAAACAUUUCUGAUAAACAAAAGGAUUCCUCUCUGCACGUGGGACCUGAAGUGGCACUAUGUCACAUUCUACUCUCCUUCAUGCCCCCUUAGAGCCCAGGCUGAAGAGAAAUGCACAGUCUUGCAAGAGAUGCAGCACAGACAUGUAGGAAAACGUAGGAUUAUCAAGCCAGAGUUGCCGGAGUCAGAAGGAUGGAAUGUGAAUGGACGAAGCUCUGACACAGUUAUGCUUCCAAGUAACAGCAUCUUUUGAUGACUCUAUGAAGAACAAUCAUAUUAUCUCAAGUCCUAGUUUUGGUGUAUGAAGACUGCAGCCCAAACCAGCAGAACCUGGAACCAAGUCUGGAACACUUAAGUGCCUCAUUGCAGGGAGGCGAACAAGACCAACCCUUGGAAGAUGAAGCCAUGGGCAGCCAGUGUCUGUGGGUGCUGGGGAAACUGGCCGAGCCCUUCUGGCUCUGAAGUGGCAGGCAAGAUGAUUUGGGUAUGGGGAGGCUGGCAAGCUGGCUCUGGAAAGGAUGGUGAUAGGGCUGUGGGCACAGGAGGCACAGGCAGAGCCAACCUGGCUAUG